GGACACUUGUGACAUGGCUGUCUGGCUUUUUUAAUAGGUGUGACACUUCAUGCAUUAAUUCACCAUGAGAAAGCAUCCAUAUGGUUGGAGUGAGCUGGACAUGGAGGUUUGCAGCAUUGCCCUUGUACAGCAUGACCUGGCAGUACCAUUUCCUUAAGGAAAGCAAGUAAAAGAAGACCAAGAAGGAAAUUUCAGGCUAUGGAAACAAUGUUAGACAAAAAGCAAAUUGGAGCAAUUUUCUUCUUUGAGUUCAAAAUGGGUGGUAAGGCAGCAGAGACAGCUUGCCACACCAACAAGGCAUUUGGCCCAGGAACUGUCAAUGAACGUACAGUCUAGUGGUGGUCCGAGAAGCUUCACAAAGCAGACGAGAGCUAUGAAGAUGAGGAGCGGAGCAGCAGCCAUUGGAAGUUGACAAUGACCCAUGGAAAGCACUCAAAGCUGAUGCUUUUACAACUAUACAAGCAGUUCCCAAAGAACUCAACGUUGACCAUUCCACGGUUGUUUGGCAUUUGAAGUAAUUUGGAAAGGUGAAAAAGCUCAGUAAGUGGAUGCCUCAUGAGCUGAUCAAAAAUAAAAAAAAGUCGUCGUUUUGCUGUGUCACCUUCUCUUAGUCUAUGCAACAACAACAAACCAUUUAUUGAUUGGAUUGUGACAUGAUGAAUAGCGGAUUUUAUACAACAAGUGGUGACAACCGGGUCAGUGGGUGGACUGAGAAGAACCUCCAAGGCAAUUCCCAAAGCCAAACUUGCACCAAAAAAGUCCACGGUCACCAGUGGUCUGCUGCCGGUCUGACCCACUACAGCUUUCUGAAUCCCGGUGAAACCAUUCCAUCAGAGAAGGAUGCUCAGCAAAUCCAUGAGAUGCGCCAAAUACUGCAGCACCUGCAGCCGGCAUCGGCCAACAGAAAGGGCCCAAUUCUUCUCCACGACAGCACCUGAACACACAUCGCACAACCAGCACUUCAAAAGUAGAACAAACUGGGCUACGAAGUUUUGCCUCAUCUGCCAUAUUCACCUGACCUCUCUCCAACUGAGUACCACUUCUUCAAGGAUCUCAACUUUUUGCAGGGAAAACACUUCUACAGCCAGGAAGAUGCACAAAAUGCUUUCCAAGAGUUCAUCAAAUCCCCAAAACAUGAAUUUUUAUGCUACAAGAAUAAGAAACCUUAUUUUUGGCAAAAAUGUGUUGAUUGUAAUGUUUCCUAUAAAGACAAGAGUUUCCUAUAGAGAGAAGAGUUCAUCAAAUCCCCCAAACAUGGAAUUCUAUGCUACAAGAAUAAGAAACCUUAUUUUUGGCAAAAAUGUGUUGAUUGUAAUGUUUCCUAUAAAGACAUGUUUGAGCCUAGGUAUAACAAUCUGAAAUCCACUGUCCAAAACCUUAUUACUUUUGCACCAAUCUAAUAAAACUGAAAAAAACUCCCUUA
Long non-coding RNA from Columba livia (rock pigeon), 1423 nucleotides. RefSeq lists it as uncharacterized. NCBI's taxonomy places the organism in Eukaryota, Metazoa, Chordata, Aves, Columbiformes, Columbidae. The record is from RefSeq and is a predicted model, not a curated record. The transcript has 2 exons.